RNAcentral lists this ribosomal RNA (349 nucleotides) under uncultured Veillonellaceae bacterium. RNAcentral describes it as "partial 16S ribosomal RNA". The record is from RNAcentral. Lineage: Bacteria; Bacillati; Bacillota; Negativicutes; Veillonellales; Veillonellaceae.
GGAGUCUGGGCCGUGUCUCAGUCCCAAUGUGGCCGUUCAUCCUCUCAGACCGGCUACCGAUCGUCGCCUUGGUAGGCCGUUACCCCACCAACCAGCUAAUCGGACGCAGGCCCAUCCCCCGGCGAUAGCUUAUAAAUAGAGGCCAUCUUUCAAAUCCGUACCAUGCGGCACAGACUUCGUAUCCGGUAUUAGCACCCCUUUCGGAGUGUUGUCCCCGGCCGGAGGGCAGGUUGCCUACGCGUUACUCACCCGUUCGCCACUAGGAUUCUGCCGAAACAAAAUCCCCGUUCGACUUGCAUGUGUUAGGCACGCCGCCAGCGUUCGUCCUCGAGCCACUGAUCAAACUACU